RNAcentral lists this ribosomal RNA (554 nucleotides) under Lodderomyces parapsilosis. RNAcentral describes it as "Candida parapsilosis partial large subunit ribosomal RNA". It matches the Rfam family "Eukaryotic large subunit ribosomal RNA", at positions 38 to 598 of the family's 3401-position model. Lineage: Eukaryota; Fungi; Ascomycota; Pichiomycetes; Serinales; Debaryomycetaceae. The record is from RNAcentral.
GCAUAUCAAUAAGCGGAGGAAAAGAAACCAACAGGGAUUGCCUUAGUAGCGGCGAGUGAAGCGGCAAAAGCUCAAAUUUGAAAUCUGGCACUUUCAGUGUCCGAGUUGUAAUUUGAAGAAGGUAUCUUUGGGUCUGGCUCUUGUCUAUGUUUCUUGGAACAGAACGUCACAGAGGGUGAGAAUCCCGUGCGAUGAGAUGUCCCAGACCUAUGUAAAGUUCCUUCGAAGAGUCGAGUUGUUUGGGAAUGCAGCUCUAAGUGGGUGGUAAAUUCCAUCUAAAGCUAAAUAUUGGCGAGAGACCGAUAGCGAACAAGUACAGUGAUGGAAAGAUGAAAAGAACUUUGAAAAGAGAGUGAAAAAGUACGUGAAAUUGUUGAAAGGGAAGGGCUUGAGAUCAGACUUGGUAUUUUGUAUGUUACUCUCUCGGGGGUGGCCUCUACAGUUUACCGGGCCAGCAUCAGUUUGAGCGGUAGGAUAAGUGCAAAGAAAUGUGGCACUGCUUCGGUAGUGUGUUAUAGUCUUUGUCGAUACUGCCAGCAUUAGACUGAGGACUG